GAUGAACGCUGGCGGUAUGCUUAACACAUGCAAGUCGAACGGACUCUUCGGAGUUAGUGGCGGACGGGUGAGUAACGCGUGAGAAUCUGGCUUUGGGUUCGGGACAACCACUGGAAACGGUAGCUAAUACCGGAUGUGCCGAGAGGUAAAAGAGAAAUUGCCUGAAGAUGAGCUCGCGUCUGAUUAGCUAGUUGGUGAGGUAAAGGCUCACCAAGGCAGCGAUCAGUAGCUGGUCUGAGAGGAUGACCAGCCACACUGGGACUGAGACACGGCCCAGACUCCUACGGGAGGCAGCAGUGGGGAAUUUUCCGCAAUGGGCGAAAGCCUGACGGAGCAAUACCGCGUGAGGGAAGAAGGCUCUUGGGUUGUAAACCUCUUUUCUUAGGGAAGAACAAAAUGACGGUACCUAAGGAAUCAGCAUCGGCUAACUCCGUG
Molecule: ribosomal RNA, 435 nt
Filed under: uncultured bacterium
Lineage: Bacteria
Description: partial 16S ribosomal RNA
Rfam family: Bacterial small subunit ribosomal RNA
Source: RNAcentral